AGGAUAAUAGUUAAAUUUAUAUAACAUUUAAUUUGCUAUUAAAAAUCAUUUUUAAAAUUUAUCUUA
This 66-nucleotide transfer RNA is filed under the name Nurudea shiraii. RNAcentral describes it as "tRNA-Ala". The record is from RNAcentral. Lineage: Eukaryota; Metazoa; Arthropoda; Insecta; Hemiptera; Aphididae. RNAcentral also lists the same sequence under 1 other name.